Molecule: long non-coding RNA, 332 nt
Filed under: Brassica napus (rape)
Lineage: Eukaryota; Viridiplantae; Streptophyta; Magnoliopsida; Brassicales; Brassicaceae
Description: long non-coding RNA (BNAP_LNC025463)
Source: RNAcentral
CUUGAUAUUGAUAAGAUGAUAUUCAAUAUAACUUUUUAAAGUACUUGAAUUCAGUUUUCCAAUUUUAAGGUAUGUUUGAGGUAUGGCUGAUUUAUAUAAACGAUACAGCUGAGCUAUCUAAACGAUACGGCUGAGUUAUCUAAACAAUACGGCUGAGUUAUCUAAACAUUUUCUGAUUUUAGGGUUUGUUUAAGGUAUGACUGAGUUAUGUAAACGACACGACUGAGAUAUAUAAACAACACGGCUGAGUACUGUAAACAUAGCAUAAAUCUUUUUCUUAGCAACAACUUAGCAUAAAUCAAACACAAAACACAAAAACUUCAGUUAUAACG